This is a long non-coding RNA of Cygnus olor (mute swan), 1634 nucleotides long. RefSeq lists it as uncharacterized. NCBI's taxonomy places the organism in Eukaryota, Metazoa, Chordata, Aves, Anseriformes, Anatidae. The record is from RefSeq and is a predicted model, not a curated record. The transcript is spliced from 2 exons.
AUGGGGCAAGAAGCAGGAGGAGGGAGCACUCUGGAUCUCCCCAUGCACUCCUACAGGGCUGCUCCUGGUGACAGCAGGACAUCGUCUCCAGCACAAGUCCUCAGGGUGCUCCUGGACUCAGGGGCAACGUGGCUUGCAGCAUCGAUGUACACGAGGACUUGGAGUGGCAGCGACGAAGCUGCUGGGAAGUUUGUCACCAUAACACUGGCUGUUUAUGCUUUGCGUGGAUGAAAAGAACAGCUUUCUUCAAUUAGGCUUUGUACUUCAGCUGGCAGGCGGGUGCCGAUUGUCUGAAACUCCACCUCUCCGUGCAGCCUGUUUCGGGAGCUGAUGGAUGCCGAGCCGCCCAGCCCAGCCCUUCUGCUCGCGACAGGAAAAAAUGGGAGACAUCCAACAGCAGCAGCAACCACUUGGGUUCAGUUGAGUCCUCGGGCCUUCGGAUGAGGCCUGGUGCAACUUUCUCAAUGCUUUUCCUCUUCAGUUCCUGCUCCAUGCAGGUGCGGGGAGCUGACAUACCAGGGAGAAGGCUGCUGGUUGCUAAAGGAGGGCUCGAGCUCGUUUUGAAGCCAAUGGUCUGGUGGGGACAGCAGGCUAUUUCCAUUGACUUCAGCAAGUUUUGAAUAAGUUGCCUGGAUACCUAGCAAUGUAACACAGCAUGUGUGAUCGGCUGAUAGAUAUUUAUUUAAUAAGAAACAGUGCAUGGGAUGGGAACUGCCUUGAUAGCAGUGUGGAUUUAUAAGACACUGAUUGUACUUUGUCAUGCAGUUUUGCAGAUUGAGAGAGCUGGGUUUUAUUUUAUUUUAUUUUAUGGUUUACCAGAAGCUGAUAGCAAAGCCAUGGCAAAAAAUCAAAAUACAACACCCACUGUAGCCCUUCACAGGGAAAACUGUCUUAUAAAUUAAGAUCUAGAGGAAUUUCUGAUACUGCCUUGGAAUUCCUUUAGAGUGAAAUGUGUUUCCUGGGUCAUACUGUGGCAGAGGAAAAGUAUGCAGAGACUGAGCUGCAUGAACAACAGCAUAUAAUAAUUAAAAACAAACGUCUUCAUGCCCAAGCAGGUACUCCUACCAACAAAACCAUGUCAAUAGCUCCGUUAUUUCUCAUCUCUCCUUUUGUGCUUGUGACUCUUUUACCAUAACCACUGUACAGGAGGAGGUAUUUGGGGGAUGCAGUCACUGUCCCCUGUUGGAGACCUCAGAGGCAUGGCGUGGCCCUGUGCAUUCACACUGCUGCUAAUCCUCUGCUGAAAACAGAGCUGCUAGUGCUCAGUGUCUCGUGCCAACACAGACUCAGGCACAGAGGAUGGACAAACACCCCCAGGACAAACAUCCCCCUGCAUAUCUGCUGCGCUGACCCCUUAGCAGAACCCUUCCCAGAUCAGGAAGAGGCAUGGGACAGGGGAGCUGUGAGCAGUGGUGGUGCACGGGGAGGCAGCAGAGCUGUGACUCAGAAGGCAGUAACACUUCUUCAUGGCUCUUGGUAAUUAGCAAAUGGUUUCACUGGGAAUCAACAUAACUGCCAGCGCUGUGAGACUCUGCUCAGCCUUGGGAGAGAGAACUGACCUUCACGCUCUCCAUUCGGUCUCUCCGAUUUAUUUAUUUAUUUUCCUCCAGGCUCAAAAUAUUUCUUAACAAUAA